CCUACGGGAGGCAGCAGUGGGGAAUAUUGGGCAAUGGGCGCAAGCCUGACCCAGCAACGCCGCGUGAAGGAAGAAGGCUUUCGGGUUGUAAACUUCUUUUGUCAGGGAAGAGUAGAAGACGGUACCUGACGAAUAAGCCACGGCUAACUACGUGCCAGCAGCCGCGGUAAUACGUAGGUGGCAAGCGUUGUCCGGAUUUACUGGGUGUAAAGGGCGUGUAGCCGGGUUGACAAGUCAGAUGUGAAAUCCUGCGGCUUAACCGCAGAACUGCAUUUGAAACUGUUGAUCUUGAGUACUGGUGAGGCAGGCGGAAUUCCUAGUGUAGCGGUGAAAUGCGUAGAUAUUAGGAAGAACACCAGUGGCGAAGGCGGUCUGCUGGACAGCAACUGACGGUGAGGCGCGAAAGCGUGGGGAGCAAACAGGAUUAGAUACCCUUGUAGUC
This 442-nucleotide ribosomal RNA is filed under the name uncultured bacterium. RNAcentral describes it as "partial 16S ribosomal RNA". It matches the Rfam family "Bacterial small subunit ribosomal RNA", at positions 338 to 795 of the family's 1533-position model. The record is from RNAcentral.